ACACACUUGCUGUCACUUUACCGCUAUUAUUCACGGCUUUUCUAAGUGCAGCUGCAUUACCUAGGCAACUGCCGCGCUGAAACUUUUGCAAUUUUUAAAUGCAAUUUAGAUGUUUGGUUAAUAGUGCAUAUAAAUUUAUAAAUCUAAAGUGUUUGAUACAAGCUUGGUUGCUAAAAAGAUAUAAUAAUGAUGAAGAGAACUGUGACACGUGCAUUCAUAUACCAGUUUGGUGAAGUUAGAUGACGAGUUUUGCCAACAAAUACCUUAAGAACUCGUAUUAACUGAACAAUGGUAGUGUUAUUUUAGUGACAAAACGUGAAACCAAUAUUUCCUUACAAUUUCAUUGAAGUAAUCCUAAGGCUUCUUAUAAAAAUGUGAAGGGUGCAUUUUACAAACGCACAAACUUAUUUUGCUGAACAAAGAUGGCGUAAUGCGAAUUACUAGAAGCAUAAUUGAACGAAGCGCGUGGGCCUCGCUCGACUAAAGACGCAAUGCAACCGAAGAAUAUAUGGAUAGUCAUAUUUUAUGCAAGGUUAAUGUUUAGAUAUUGCGUUCUGUUUUAUAAGUAACACCAAUCGUCGAAUAAUUAACUAGCAUCACUUUUACUAAUUUUUUUUGCACGAGGUUGCCCCCCGUUAAGUUUCAAUUGUUGUGAUCAAAUGAUUCUGAACAUAUCAAUAUGCACCUUUCAGUCUAAAAAAAUACGAAAUCUAUUUUUGUAUUUUCUUGACUUCUACAGUGUUUUAGAACACUUACAAUUGCCACUUCAAAUCUUACUGGUAGUCUUCUUCUGCCUAUCAUUGAAGGGCGACUGGCGAAGUCGUCGAAAAAUGAUAUCCACCAAUCGAAGGAACUGUGCAUUUAAGAUCCUGUUAAUUUAGCGAAUUCAGUGCGACCAGUAUUAAACGUGACAAAAUAAUAUUUGUGGCUUCCUGGCGAACAUUAAAACAAAUUAUCGUUUUAAAUUCUAUGUUUGCUGAAAUUAUCAUACCAAAAUCAGGCAAAGUGGUCCCUACGUUAAGUCAUACCGAUUUACAUUAUAAACACUGCUGUGAUAGAAUACCAUCACUCUGUUCAACCAGAGAAAACAUCGCUAUGCACUCCACUACAAAUGGGGCUACAAAUGCUGUGGCACCAAGGUAGCAGUAAACAUUUAUCUACUUGAACGUGCACCGAAAAAAUUAUUGUGCACAACAACAUAAAUGGGAAUGCAAAGGCUGCUGAAGGAUCAUUGGCAGAACUGGCAGAAUAAUCAAACAUAUGAGACGUAUUCGCUUUCCAUGUAUUAAUGUAUGUAAGUUUAAUUAUCGAAAGAAUUCGUCUAGUUAAUACAAAAUUUUGGUAAAAUAUCACAAUUGGGAAUUGUUACCAAAAGUCUAAUUAGCUUAGUGCAUUAAAAAUGGGUUAGAUUUUUCACUUUUAAUGCUUCGAUCGGUUUUACUGGUUAUACGACAGCAAUGAUUUCUUUUUUAUAUACUAUAUUCGUACAUAUACCAGUGUUUUUAUUAAAACUUCUAUGCGUCGCGAGAUCUCAGCCAAUAAUUUUAAUUAAAUCACUAGUUUGAAUUUCACACUGUUAAAGUUAACUUAUUAUCCCACUUCUGAAUAAUGCGAAAACGCAUAUAGAAAACUCCGUUUAUAGUAUGGCUUGGGCUUAUAUACCCAAGCUUACUAACAAAAUACCGUAUUCUAAAGCAAUAUGGAAAAAGAAACAAAAUAAUGUUAUAAUAGGGUUGCAAAAUGCUCUACUCUGCUAAAAAAAAAUAUUAAGGUGUGUUCACACCAUACAAAAACUUAAGUGUGUAAAUUUAUUACAUUUAUAGAACCACCUCCUGUUAUACUUGUAGUUAGGGUACUCACUACAUCACCCCCUUUCCAACAAAUUUGAGAAAACACCUCACUGCUUAACCGCUAUUCCUUACUUUAUUUUAGUCUAGAAUGUAUUCAUCCUAUUUAUUACUAGUUUUAGUUUAGAAUGUAUUCAUCCUAUUUAUUAUUUUAUAAUCUAUUAUUUAAAGAGCUCUGAUAAUAGCUCAUCAGUACGUAUUAUAAAAGCUUCGGGUGGUACUUCCUUAAAUAUGGGGAUUACUUCAUCUUAUAAUUUGGUAUAGUUUUAAACCUAGUCUCUUGCCGUGCAUAAAACGCUUCGCAACUUGGUUUUAUACAUAUCUUGUUUCUUCCCAACUUCAUGUGUUGAGGUUUUGAGGUAAGGAGAAGGGAGUUUUUGGUAUUACUAUGCCAGUUAAGGGGUAUUCUAGUCUAGAGGCCCGAAUUUCGAGCAUUUUUUGACGAUGAAUAAAAAAAAAAGCUAUUGAUAUUUUUACGAUACAUUUUUUUAUCAUUUAUUUAUUCACAAUAGAGUGCACAAUACUCACAGGAUGUGGUACCGGAGAAGAUGUAUUGAUUCCCCGAAUCCCUCUGAUACCAUCGGAUCUACCAUUCCAAUUUAAA
Anastrepha ludens (Mexican fruit fly) is the source of this 2451-nucleotide long non-coding RNA. RefSeq lists it as uncharacterized. The record is from RefSeq and is a predicted model, not a curated record. The transcript has 4 exons. Lineage: Eukaryota; Metazoa; Arthropoda; Insecta; Diptera; Tephritidae.